CGGCGGGACACAUGCACUUGUAGCUCCCCAGGGUGUUGUGACAGGAGGCUCCUCCGCAGAUGUGAGCGCUGAGGCAUUCGUUUUCAUCUGCAGGCAAAAUAAGAAGCGGCAUGUGUGGCAGCAGCCAGAGAUUUCUAUUGAGGACAUUGGAUCUGGCCACUUGCUGCCGGCCAGCUGGCCCUCAGCUAGGCUCUCAGGAAGCUGAAGAAAGUGAGGCUCAGAAAGCUCUUCCAAGAUCUCACAGCCAGCAGCAGCAGGGCAGAAAUUCACAGCCAGGACGAAGUGUGCAAUAGAGAGCAACAGAAACCACUGGCACCAAGCUCCAUGUCAAACAAAGAAUGAAGAACGAAGCAUAUUUACUUCAUUGGAGAGAACACCCCUGGGCUGAUGUCUUCUUGCUCCUCCACGUCCAUCCUCCAUCCUCUCCACUUGCUCUUGGCCCCAGGUGGCUGAUCUAUGGAGCAUGAGCAAGCUCUGCUCCCCUGUCCCUCACUUUUGGUUGGCCUCAGCCAUCUGCUUCUUGCUGGGACCCUGACUAAUAAAACCUGCAAGGCGUGGGUAUAUGAGGGGGAAGACUUGUCAUUCUAUAGCUUAGAUUUAUUCUGUGUUUUUUCCUCCAAAGAGCAGAAGUAGGACCAAUGGUGAGAAAUUAGAGGGAGGAGAAAUGAUUUUUUUUAUAGCAAAAAAAGACAUUUCUAAGUAUUAAAAGCUGUCUAUACAUAGAUUGGGCUAUCUUGGGAGAAAGUGGGCACCCUUCAAGGUGGUAUUUAAGCCAAACUGGGAUAAGCAAGGAAGUUAGAGAAGGAUUUAUAUAUUAGGAAAGAGAGAAGGCUAGAUCUCUAAGGUUCUUUUUAACUUUGAGCAUCUAUCUGUGUUACUACAACUAUCAAGAGUUCUCCCCCUCUCCUUUCACAUUCUUUUAAAUUUUAUUUUACAUUUUCUCCCUUCCCUGAGAAUUUAAUAAAGUUUAAAUUAAACUUGCUUAUCUAGGUUGGAGAGGUAGGAUGGAGUAGAGCACAGAUUAAAAUAAGAAAUUGGCAAAUAUUCAGUGUUUACAGUUUGAAAACAGCAUGUUUGUGCACUCGCCCUUUUUAUCAAUAUACAAACACCACGAUUUGGUUAACAUGUUUUGCACUUUUCCUGACCUUUUUCAUCCUCUGCACUCUGGAGCAAAUGACUCCACAAGGAAUUUUUUUACACUCCAAAAUAUUUGUUUUAUUCUUC
RNAcentral lists this long non-coding RNA (1224 nucleotides) under Homo sapiens (human). RNAcentral describes it as "HSALNT0220014". Lineage: Eukaryota; Metazoa; Chordata; Mammalia; Primates; Hominidae. The record is from RNAcentral.